This is a long non-coding RNA of Setaria italica (foxtail millet), 574 nucleotides long. RefSeq lists it as uncharacterized. The record is from RefSeq and is a predicted model, not a curated record. Lineage: Eukaryota; Viridiplantae; Streptophyta; Magnoliopsida; Poales; Poaceae. The transcript is spliced from 2 exons.
GUAGGUAAUAUCAGUCCCCUAUAAAUAUAACAUCCAGGUCACAUGAAAAAUAUCAAAAAUAAGUACAAAAGAAGAUACUUCAGAUUCCAGAUCAGUGAAAAUCGACGACUUCUGAAGAAUGAAGGGAAUAAGAGUACCUGUCUUUCUCUGCAUCCUGUUGAUGACUACCACCUCCUGUGCUGCUCUGACGAGGAAGCUGUCUGGAAAUGGUGGACAGCAGGCAGGCCAAGUGCAGGACGAACCGGAAAUUCAAGUCGACGGAAGGCCCUCUUCUGGCUAUGGUGACCAUGUUUGCCCCAGAAGCUUGUUUCCUAACUGCUCAAAGAGGCUAGCUGAUCAGUCAUCUUCAAACAAUCUUGGCUAAAUGGGAAACAUGUCUGGGUAUUACUCUAGUGGUGGAUCUAGAAAUCGGGCCAUGUGUGAGGUUCGGUUGACAUAUGGAUACCGACGCUGAAGAUAUGGUCGUUAUUUUCUUAAAUAAGCGUCUAUAUUGUCACUUUUGCAUGUCUCUACUGCAACUUACGAGAUAUAUAUACAAAUUAUUAGUAGUAGUAGUUUCAACAUCGCCAACUUC